RNAcentral lists this ribosomal RNA (755 nucleotides) under uncultured Russulaceae. RNAcentral's name for it is "eukaryotic LSU rRNA". The stretch from base 229 to 382 matches the Rfam family "5.8S ribosomal RNA". The record is from RNAcentral. Lineage: Eukaryota; Fungi; Basidiomycota; Agaricomycetes; Russulales; Russulaceae.
UGACCUGCGGAAGGAUCAUUAUCGUAUACAAUCGAGGCGUGCGAGGGCUGUCGCUGACUUCAAGUCGUGCACGCCCGAGCGCUCUCUCACACUUCUAUCUCACCCCCUUCGUGCAUCAUCGCGUGGGUCCUCUCUUCGGAGGGGGCUCGCGUUUUCAUACAAACGCCCCUUUAAUGCAGUAUAGAAUGUCUUCCUUGCCUCGCGAUGACUCGCGUGGCGAUCUAAUACAACUUUCAACAACGGAUCUCUUGGCUCUCGCAUCGAUGAAGAACGCAGCGAAAUGCGAUACGUAAUGUGAAUUGCAGAAUUCAGUGAAUCAUCGAAUCUUUGAACGCACCUUGCGCCCCUUGGCAUUCCGAGGGGCACACCCGUUUGAGUGUCGUGACAUCCUCAAAUCCCUUUUCUCGUUCUCUUGAACGGGGGAAGGCUUUUGGACUUUGGAGGUCUUUGCUGGCAUCGCUCGAAGCCAGCUCCUCUUAAACGAAUUAGCAGGGUUCGCUUUGCAGAUCCUCGACGCGAUAAGAUAUUUUCUUCGUCUUGAGUUUUUGCUCUGCCGACCUGCUUCUAAAUCGUCUCGUCGGAGACAGCGUUCGAGUUUACCCAUUAUGUGGGUAGGCUCGACUCACGAACCCUUGACCUCAAAUCGGGUGAGACUACCCGCUGAACUUAAGCAUAUCAAUAAGCGGAGGAAAAGAAACUAACAAGGAUUCCCCUAGUAACUGCGAGUGAAGCGGGAAAAGCUCAAAUUUAAAAUC